This 253-nucleotide ribosomal RNA is filed under the name uncultured bacterium. RNAcentral's name for it is "partial 16S ribosomal RNA". It matches the Rfam family "Bacterial small subunit ribosomal RNA", at positions 524 to 776 of the family's 1533-position model. The record is from RNAcentral.
UACAGAGGUCUCAAGCGUUGUUCGGAUUCAUUGGGCGUAAAGGGUGUGUAGGUGGCGCCGUAAGUCGGGUGUGAAAUUUCGAGGCUUAACCUCGAAACUGCAUUCGAUACUGCGGUGCUUGAGGACUGGAGAGGAGACUGGAAUUCAUGGUGUAGCAGUGAAAUGCGUAGAGAUCAUGAGGAAGACCAGUGGCGAAGGCGGGUCUCUGGACAGUUCCUGACACUGAGACACGAAGGCCAGGGGAGCAAACGGG